This 65-nucleotide transfer RNA is filed under the name Cerion incanum. RNAcentral describes it as "tRNA-Lys". The record is from RNAcentral. Lineage: Eukaryota; Metazoa; Mollusca; Gastropoda; Stylommatophora; Cerionidae.
UUUUUAUGACUGAGGCAAAAUAAGUAGUAGAUUUUUAAUCUACCCACGAGCUGUAGCUCUAAAAU